GUACACGCUGUGACUAGCAUAUCAAUAAGCGGAGGAAAAGAAACUAACAAGGAUUCCCCUAGUAACGGUGAGUGAAGCGGGAAGAGCUCAAAUUUGAAAUCUUAAAGGGUUUCCCUUUACGAAUUGUAGUUUAAAGAAGUGUUUUCUGUUGAGGUUUUGGUAAAAGUUCUUUGGAAUAGGACAUCAUAGAGGGUGAGAAUCCCGUAUUUGACCUUUACUUUCAACUUUGUCGAUACACUUUCAAAGAGUCGGAUUGUUUGGGAAUGCAGUCCAAAAUGGGUGGUAAAUUUCAUCUAAAGCUAAAUAUUGGCGAGAGACCGAUAGCGAACAAGUACCGUGAGGGAAGGAUGAAAAGAACUUUGAAAAGAGAGUUAAACAGUACGUGAAAUUGUCAAAAGGGAAGCGUUUGACACCAGUGUUGUUUUUCUGAAAAUCAAUUAAAGAACUGUUUAUGCUAAGCUGUUUAGACUUUAUCAGCUAUCUGUUUAGUUUUGAGCUUUUCUUUAAUGCACUUUUCAGUUAACAAGUCAACAUCAAUUUCUUUUGCUGUAAAAAAGCUUGAGGAAGGUGGCUUGAGAUUCGUCUUAAGUGUUUAUAGCCUCUUGCCUAUGCAGUCGGAGAGAUUGAGGUCUGCAGCGUAGAUCCUUCGGGGCUAAAUGCAUUUGUGCUAAGUUAUAGCAUUUUAUAGACAACUUGUUGACUAUGAUUUGUCUUGUAGCUUACUCGCUUAUGUUAUUUUACCUACGCUUAGGAUGUUGAAGAUGUAGCACAUCAU
Molecule: ribosomal RNA, 775 nt
Filed under: uncultured Neocallimastigales
Lineage: Eukaryota; Fungi; Neocallimastigomycota; Neocallimastigomycetes; Neocallimastigales
Description: partial large subunit ribosomal RNA
Rfam family: Eukaryotic large subunit ribosomal RNA
Source: RNAcentral